GGUAUCCUACGGGGGGCAGCAGUAGGGAAUAUUGCUCAAUGGGGGAAACCCUGAAGCAGCAACGCCGCGUGGAGGAUGAAGGUUUUCGGAUUGUAAACUCCUUUUGUUAGAGAAGAUAAUGACGGUAUCUAACGAAUAAGCACCGGCUAACUCCGUGCCAGCAGCCGCGGUAAUACGGAGGGUGCAGGCGUUACUCGGAAUCACUGGGCGUAAAGAGCGCGUAGGCGGGAUAGCAAGUCAGAUGUGAAAUCCUAUGGCUCAACCAUAGACCUGCAUUUGAAACUGUUAUUCUCGAGUAUGGGAGG
This 305-nucleotide ribosomal RNA is filed under the name uncultured bacterium. RNAcentral's name for it is "bacterial SSU rRNA". It matches the Rfam family "Bacterial small subunit ribosomal RNA", at positions 333 to 655 of the family's 1533-position model. The record is from RNAcentral.